UACAGAGGUCUCAAGCGUUGUUCGGAUUCAUUGGGCGUAAAGGGUGUGUAGGUGGCGCCGUAAGUCGGGUGUGAAAUUCCGGAGCUUAACUCCGAAACUGCAUUCGAUACUGCGGUGCUUGAGGACUGGAGAGGAGACUGGAAUUUACGGUGUAGCAGUGAAAUGCGUAGAUAUCGUAAGGAGGACCAGUGGCGAAGGCGGGUCUCUGGACAGUUCCUGACACUGAGACACGAAGGCCAGGGGAGCAAACGGG
Molecule: ribosomal RNA, 253 nt
Filed under: uncultured bacterium
Lineage: Bacteria
Description: partial 16S ribosomal RNA
Rfam family: Bacterial small subunit ribosomal RNA
Source: RNAcentral